CAAAUACUCCCUCCAUCCCAAAACUCUUUUCUUAAAUUUGUCUAGAUAUGAAUGUAUCAAGUCACGUUUUAGCAUUUAUAUACAUUCAUUUGUAGACAAACAUAAGACAAGAAUUUUGGGACAAGGGGAGUGAAAG
Molecule: microRNA precursor, 136 nt
Filed under: Hordeum vulgare
Lineage: Eukaryota; Viridiplantae; Streptophyta; Magnoliopsida; Poales; Poaceae
Description: microRNA MIR1122
Rfam family: MIR1120/MIR1122 microRNA precursor family
Source: RNAcentral